UACGAAGGGUGCAAGCGUUACUCGGAAUUACUGGGCGUAAAGGGUGCGUAGGUGGUUGUUUAAGUCCGCUGUGAAAGCCCCGGGCUCAACCUGGGAAUGGCAGUGGAUACUGGACAGCUAGAGUGCGGUAGAGGGUAGUGGAAUUCCCGGUGUAGAGGUGAAAUUCGUAGAUAUCGGGAGGAACACCGGUGGCGAAGGCGGCGACCUGGGUAGAUACUGACGCUGAGGUGCGAAAGCGUGGGGAGCAAACAGG
RNAcentral lists this ribosomal RNA (253 nucleotides) under uncultured bacterium. RNAcentral describes it as "partial 16S ribosomal RNA". It matches the Rfam family "Bacterial small subunit ribosomal RNA", at positions 524 to 776 of the family's 1533-position model. The record is from RNAcentral.